GUCCAUUCUACCUGCCAGGCACUGUACUCAGUCCUGGAGUUAAAGGGGUCGAGAAGACAGGCAGAUAUGUCUCCACCUUCAUGGAAUUUAGGCACCCAGUGGAAGAUAAUACUUACAUGGAGACAACAACCUGCCCAGUUGUGGGACUUUCUGUAGUAGAAGAGCAGCCUGGUUUAAGCACUGAGAAAGCCUUCAUUUCAGGAAAAAAAUAUUUAGGAAGGACAGUAUCAGAAACCCAAGGAGAGAACCAAAUUACAAAACACUGAGAAGUUAAAACACGAAGGGAUUUUGCACAACAGAAGACUUGAUGUCAGUGGCCUUUCCUGUCUUUUGUGAAAGCUUAAACCCUCUGAAGAAAUUAUGCCAGGUGUUCCAGAGAGGGAAGAGAGAGAAGUGACUUUCAAGGCGAUUCCCUUUUCUUAGGAAUGAGAUGACGUUGGAGGCCUCAGUGCUGGCUGAAGGAGAGCAAGAUGUCUGCCUUCUCCCUGUGUUCUCACAUGGCCUUUUUUCUGCACACCAACGUAUGUGGUGUCUCCUGCUUUUCUUGGGAAGCCAGAGGUCAUGAGGACACUUAAGUAGCCUUGUGUGGAGGCCCGUGAGUGGAGGAACAGAGUUCUCCUGCCAACAGAGGAUUCUCCAGCCCUAGUCAAGCCUUCAGACGACUGCAGCUUGGUAACAUCUUGACGGCAAGCUCAUGAGAUCCUGAGCCGGAAGCACUGGCUCAAUUGUUCCUGACUAGAAUCUGUGAGCACAUAGUGGCUCCCAAGGACUGAGGAUCUUCAGCAAUCUAGAAGGCUGGAGAAGCAGGAACAGAUGUGUCCAGUGACUUCCACAGACCAGUGCUCCUGGAUGCUCCUGUGGCUCAUCUACCUCAAGCUGGGUGGUCCCUCUCUGCUGAGGACUGUUACUGUAUGAAUCCCCCAAUUAGUCAUGUGGCUCGGAUCAAGAGGAAAUGAGGACACGGACACACAUAGAGGAAAGACCACGUGAGGACACA
Molecule: long non-coding RNA, 997 nt
Organism: Acinonyx jubatus (cheetah)
Lineage: Eukaryota; Metazoa; Chordata; Mammalia; Carnivora; Felidae
Exons: 8
Source: RefSeq, a predicted model, not a curated record